UUCCCUUUUCUUAUGGAUCCAGAAGUUCUGAAAAGUACACUCAAUCCGUGAAGCCAUUAGGAGCUGAAAUACUGUUAGGCUUUUGCUCAGUCAUCCUUACACUGCGAUUUUUGUUCUCAUGCUUUUUGUUACCUCAGGGUCACAAGAUGACUUCAGGCAGGAUAACAGGGACCUGAAAGUUAUGGCCACAGAGUGAGUAGGAAUUUUGAGCCCAGCCGGACCAGGCCAGGCCAGACCACAGUGAUGGGGGAGGGAGCUCCACUGCCCGAGGAGAGCAGUGAGGAGCACAGUUCACGCAACAGGAUGAAGCUGGCCGAGGAGGAUAACCCCCUCUGGUGCCCACGUGCAGGCUGUCUAUAGCAACCUGGUCUGAUGACAUCGAGAGGACAUGGAAUGAAAGUAACAAAUGACAACUUUUAAAAAAUCUAGAGAAAACUUUCUUUAUGAAAAAUAAGAAGGCACCCCCGAGGGCUCUUUCUCUAAUGAACCACAUUCGCCUUAAAGGAAAUACCUGGGAGUGUCCCAGACCCUUCAGAGGGCUGAGGUUGGGGAUGUAGCCUGAGAGAUCCAUGUUCCCAUUGAUCUUUCCUAGUGAAACGUCCUGUGUGUCUUCUCAGGCAUGGUGUGGCAGAUGCCUGUGGAGCUGCCUUCAUCCAUCAGUCGCAUGCAGUGCCCUCUUUCCAACACUGUGUGCUCUUCCUCAAAGGGGAAAAACCCACGCUUUAUCAGUAGCCCUCCCUGUUUCAUGAAAACAUCAGGCACCCAAGUUCUAUCUGUCUUGUUGCUUCAUCAUCUCUAAGGAGUUACCAUCAUCUAAAUAAUCUAAAACUGGUUGCCACUACAUCCAGUUCCAGCCAGUGGAAGGAGGGAGGGAGAAAGCAGGUGCACCUCAUUUUUAAGGAUAUGAUCUAGAAAGCUCUCAUCCAUUGGCCACCACUUAAAGCUUUAUUCUGAGCAUCUUGUAUGCUUGACCUUUGCUUUCCUAGAAUUUAUGUUCUCCUGGGGAACACAAGGGAGAAACAGUAUGUAAUGCGUCAGGGAGUGAUAAAUGCUAAUAAGAAGGUAAAAGUGCAGUUAAGGGAUAGAGAUAGAGAUGGCACUUGAGAUAAAGUCAGGAACAGCCUUGUUGAGAAGGGUACGUGUAUUCAGGGAUCUGAAGGGAAGUGGGCUCCAGGGAGGAGGAACAGCAUGUAUAAAUGCCCUGUGGUGGGAAUGGGCUGUGCAUAUUUAGGGAGCAGGGGUGUGGCCAGUGCACCUGGAGGAAGUGAAAUUGCAGCAAUGUCAGUGGGAUCAUAGACACCACUGUUGGCUAGGGUAAAGUAAUGGUCUUGAAUGUGAGUGAGAUGAAAACCUCUGCAAAUUUAUGACAUGAUGGAAUAUUUUUUUGGAAAAAAAAUUUAAAAAAAUUUAAGUUAUAAUAUCUGCAGUCUGUGUAAACGUAAGAGCUAAAACUAUAAAACUCUUAGAACAAAACAUAGGACAGAAGCUUUAUGACACAGGAUUUGGCAGUGAUUUUGUAGAUGUGACACCAAAGAAACAGGCAAUGACAGAAGCAAUAGGCAAAUUUGACAUCAAAAUUUUAAAUGUUUAUGCAUCAAAGAAUACAAUCAACAGAAUAAAAAGGCAACCUAUACAAUGGGAGAAAAUAUUUAAAAAUCAUAUAUCUGAACAUUUGCUUAUCACAUAUCUAAUAAUGCCCAGAGUAUAUAAAGAACUCCUAAAAUUCAGCAGUAACUAAACAACCCAAUUCAAAAAUGGGUGAAAGUUGCAAAACCAUAUGAAUGUACUUAAUGGAUACUAAAAAAAUCACUAACAAUGGCUAAUUUUGUUAUGUAUAUUUUACCACAAUUUUUAAAAAAUGAAUUAUAAAAUGAAUAGGCAAAGAACCUGAAAAGAUAUUUCACCAAAGAAGUUAUCCAAAUGGCCAGUAAACACAAGAUGCUCAACAUUGCUAAUCAUUAAGGAAUACAAAUCAAAACCACAAUGACAGAACACCUCACACCGAUUAGGUAUGAUCAAAAACUGGAAAUUGGAACCCUUAUGCACUGCUGAUGGGAAUGUAAAGUGGUGUGGCUGCUGUGGAAAGCAGCCUGUAAGUUCCUCAAAAAAUUAAACAGGAGUUCCUGUUGUGGCACAGCAGAAACGAAUCUGACUAGGAACCAUGAGAUUGCAGGUUCAAUCCCUGUCCUUACUCAUGGAUUAAGGAUCUGGCAUGGCCAUGAGCUGUGGUGUGUAGGUCGCAGACGUGGCUCAGAUCUCAUGUUGCUGUGGCUGUAGCGUAAGCCAGUGGCUACAGCUCUGAUUAGACCCCUAGCCUGGGAACCUCCAUAUGCCAUGAGCGUGGCCCUAAAAAGGAAAAUAAAAGGGGGGGGAUUAUUUCACUCAAUCGAAGGAAAAUUGCAGCCAUUACAAUAAUGAUGAUUAUGUAUCAAUGUAUAAUAUGCUUUGAAGUUAUGUUAAAUCAAGAAAGAUUACAAAACAGCACUCAGACUGGGAGUCCAGCUAUGUCAGGAAGUGUGUACACAAAAAGAGAAAAAAAUAUUCUGAUCACCUACUGUGUGCUUGGCCUCCUGCUGAGUCUUAAGGAUACACAAAUUAGUAAAAUGUGGUCAUGUUAUGGCUCUUUGUCAUUAUGCUUGCACACAGUGAUGUGCAGGUAAGUGUUUAGUAGCCAUGUAUUGGGGUUAGGGAGAGGGAAGUGUUUUGUAAUUUUGCCAGUUUCUAUGGUGUAAGCAUUUCCAGUGUGGCUGACUUCAAGCUGCCAAUGGAACUUUACUGAAAAGAAAAGAUGCACACAGUAGCUCUUCAGCGUCAGUACAAGCUGGCUCCUGCGUGUCCCAGGAGCCUUCCUCUGCCUAAUGUCUACCAGUUGGGAGGUGGUUGUUAAAUAAACAGUAAUUUAUUCAUAGAAUGGGAUUCUCAUCAUUCAUGAGAAAAAUCAAACUGUUUCUUUUUUUUAUGGCCGUACCCAAGGCAAUGAAAGUUCCCAGGCCCAGGAUCAGAUCCUUUUAAAUCUAGUGCUCUGCGGUCAGAUUCUAUUUUUUUUUUAACUUUUUUUUUUUUUUUUUUUGCUUUUUAGGGCCUCACCCAAGGCAUAUGGAAGUUCCCAAGCUAGGGGUCAAAUCAGAGCUGCAGCUGCCAGCCUGCACCACAGCCACAGUAACACUGUGGGAUCUGAGCUGUGUCUGUGACCUUCACCACAGUUCACAGCACCACUGAAUCCUUAACCCACUGAGCAAGGCCAGGGAUUGAACCUACAUCCUCAUGGAUACCAGUUGAGUUCCUUACUGGUGAGCCAUGACAGGAACUCCUGCAGGUCAGAUUUUUAACCCACUGUGCCACAGUAGGAACUCCCAGAAGAUCACACUUUGAAGUAAUCAGUCAUAUUUGAAAAAGUUCAAGGUUUAUCUUCAAGUUUAAACACAACUAGGUGUGAGUGAGAACAAUGAAAAUCGAGGUAUAAGGAUUAUGAGGAUAUCUCCUCCAUAAAAUCAAACAGGAUAUUGGCAGAAAUUGUCCAAGUCCACGUUCUGACAAGUAUGGAAAUUAGCCAGUCUUGACACCACCUAAAGAACAUUUAUUCAGGAGUUCCUGUCGUGGUGCAGUGGAAACAAAUCCGACUAAGAACAAUGAGGCUGCAGGUUCGAUCCCUGGCCUCGAUCAGCAGGUUAAGGAUCUGGCAUUGCUGUGAGCUGUGGUGUAGGUCACAGACUCUGCUCGGAUCCUGCAUUGCUGUGGCUUGGUGUAGGCCUGCAGCUGUAGCUCCAAUUGGACCCCCAGCCUGGGAAUCUCCAUAUGCCGCGGGUUCAGCCCUAAAAAGCCAAAAAGAAAAAGAACAUUUAUUCAAGAAUAGGUGAACAGAGAGUUCCCAUUGUGGCACAGUGGAAACGAAUCUGAAUAGUAUCCAUGAGGAUGUAGCUUUGAUUCCUGGCCUCAAUCAGUGGGUCAUGGAUCUGGUGUUGCUGUGAGCUGUGGUGAAGGUCGCAGCCAAGGCUCAGAUCCGGCAUUGCUAUGGAUGUAGUGUAGGCCUGGAAACUUACAUUUGCCACUGGUGUGGCCCUAAAACUUGCCCUAGGCUCAUCCUCUAUUGUCCAGGUUCACAGUACCUUCAAAAAUAACAGCCUGCUGGAGUUCCCAUUGUGGCUCAGUGGAAAGGAAUCUGACUAGUGUUCAUGAAGACCUAGGUUUGAUUUCUGGCCUCGAUCAGUGGGUUAAGGAUCUGGCAUUGCCAUGGCUGUGGUGUAGGCCAGUGGCUACAGACCUAUUUGACCCCUAGCCUGGGAACCUCCAUAUGCCUCAGGUGCAGCCCUAAAAAGACCAAAAAAAAACACCAAAUAGCCUGCAAUUCUGGUGCAGCAUAACUGCUACCUGAGGAGGGCAUUCUCACAUGGCUGCCAUUGCUUGAACUGUCUGGUAGUUCCCUGAAAGUUGCAAGUUACCUGGGUUUUGUAUUUGGCCUGACUUGGAGCUCACCCAGUGUGAAAAGUCUUCUCUCUAGGGGACAUUAAAACAAACAGACAAACAGUUACAAGCAAGUGUUUAACUAUGUGAUUGUUAGAGGCAGCAGAUAAGACUUGGGUCAAUCAAUAGACCUAAAACAUAAAUAAAACAGGAGUUCCCGUCGUGGCGCAGUGGUUAACGAAUCCGACUAGGAACCAUGAGGUUGCGGGUUCAGUCCCUGCCCUUGCUCAGUGGGUUGACAUCUGGCGUUGCCAUGAGCUGUGGUGUAGGUUGCAGACGCGGCUCGGAUUCUGAGUUGCUGUGGCUCUGGCCUAGGCCGGCGGCUACAGCUCCAAUUAGACCCCUAGCCUAGGAACCUCCAUAUGCCGCGGGGAGCGGCCCAAGAAAUAGCUAAAAGACAAAAAA
This 4866-nucleotide long non-coding RNA is filed under the name Sus scrofa (pig). RNAcentral describes it as "lncRNA (ENSSSCG00060076143.1)". The record is from RNAcentral. Lineage: Eukaryota; Metazoa; Chordata; Mammalia; Artiodactyla; Suidae.